Molecule: ribosomal RNA, 253 nt
Filed under: uncultured bacterium
Lineage: Bacteria
Description: partial 16S ribosomal RNA
Rfam family: Bacterial small subunit ribosomal RNA
Source: RNAcentral
GACGAACCGUGCGAACGUUAUUCGGAUUCACUGGGCUUAAAGGGCGCGUAGGCGGGCUCGAAAGUCAGGGGUGAAAGCCUCCAGCUUAACUGGAGAAGUGCCUUUGAUACUGCGAGUCUCGAGGGAGGUAGGGGCGUGCGGAACUUCCGGUGGAGCGGUGAAAUGCGUAGAUAUCGGAAGGAACACCGGUGGCGAAAGCGGCUCACUGAACCACAACUGACGCUGAGGCGCGAAAGCUAGGGGAGCAAACAGG